Molecule: ribosomal RNA, 412 nt
Filed under: uncultured microorganism
Description: bacterial SSU rRNA
Rfam family: Bacterial small subunit ribosomal RNA
Source: RNAcentral
GAGUUUGAUCCUGGCUCAGAUUGAACGCUGGCGGCAUGCCUUACACAUGCAAGUCGAACGGCAGCAUGAUCUAGCUUGCUAGAUUGAUGGCGAGUGGCGAACGGGUGAGUAAUACAUCGGAACGUGCCCUGUAGUGGGGGAUAACUAGUCGAAAGAUUAGCUAAUACCGCAUACGACCUGAGGGUGAAAGUGGGGGACCGCAAGGCCUCAUGCUAUAGGAGCGGCCGAUGUCUGAUUAGCUAGUUGGUGGGGUAAAGGCCCACCAAGGCGACGAUCAGUAGCUGGUCUGAGAGGACGAUCAGCCACACUGGGACUGAGACACGGCCCAGACUCCUACGGGAGGCAGCAGUGGGGAAUUUUGGACAAUGGGCGAAAGCCUGAUCCAGCAAUGCCGCGUGUGCGAAGAAGGCCU